This 22-nucleotide microRNA is filed under the name Ornithorhynchus anatinus (platypus). RNAcentral describes it as "oan-miR-1422h-5p". The record is from miRBase by way of RNAcentral. Lineage: Eukaryota; Metazoa; Chordata; Mammalia; Monotremata; Ornithorhynchidae.
UUAGUCAUGAAAGCGUUUUUUC